Camellia sinensis is the source of this 206-nucleotide non-coding RNA. The record is from RefSeq and is a predicted model, not a curated record. Lineage: Eukaryota; Viridiplantae; Streptophyta; Magnoliopsida; Ericales; Theaceae.
GCAAUGUUCCCUUGAUUUUGAUGAACACAAUCAGAACACAUGAUAGUACCCUGAAGGCAGUGGAGAAAUAUUCGAAGAAAACUGUUGAUAUUCUUACUAGCGAUCAUCAGCGAAGACUCGAACAGCCAUGUCAGCCGGCAGCUUUUCUCUUUACGGUGGUAGGGACAAAAGGCUUUUUGGGUGUUCUUGCCGGUCGGCUUCCUGGG